AACGACUGCCUCGUGACGUGAACAACGUUUGACAGUUUGUGUUUCGAUACCGUAAAACCCAGAAGCUGAUGUAUUUCAAUUCGAUUUGUGGUGACUGCGUGUCACAAAAACCGUCCAAGAAACAUGCCUUGCCUUCAGAGAAGCAAUAACAAAAAAUAUAGUUGGAUGAUAUAAUUUUAUAUGACAGCUCCGGGAAGGAAAUAGAGUUUAGGAGCGAAGAACGUCGUAAAAAAUUGGUUCGCUAACGCACACAUGGAGCGCAUAAAUCUCUACAUGGCAGGCGGUGGAAACUUGGAGAGCCCGUUCCUUACAAUUUUAGAGCGACUCGGUAACUAAAUCUACUAUGUACCAUGACACAUAGAGCGAGGCGAUUGUAACCUUCACCCGGCCCUUGCUCUACCACUGACGAUCAACCAUCGACGAACCCCCCUCGCCUUCGUCAUCGUGAGUCAAAGCCUGCUAAGACACCCAUCCUCUCACGCUCUUACCAUGUGCCCGCGAGUGAGUCUACGUGAGUGGCCACCCCGUUCCCCCACAACCCAAAAAAAAAAAACACAUCUCUCGAAAAUAAUAAAGCAUAAAAGUGCAUAUUGCAUUUUAUUAA
Long non-coding RNA from Aedes albopictus (Asian tiger mosquito), 604 nucleotides. RefSeq lists it as uncharacterized. The record is from RefSeq and is a predicted model, not a curated record. Lineage: Eukaryota; Metazoa; Arthropoda; Insecta; Diptera; Culicidae. The transcript is spliced from 2 exons.